GGGUCGGUAGCUCAGCGGUAGAGCAUUCGGCUUUUAACCGAUUGGUCCAGGGUUCGAAUCCCUGCCGACCCA
This 72-nucleotide transfer RNA is filed under the name Synechococcus sp. Nb3U1. Its description in RNAcentral is "tRNA-Lys". It matches the Rfam family "tRNA". Rfam says of the family: Transfer RNA (tRNA) molecules are approximately 80 nucleotides in length. Their secondary structure includes four short double-helical elements and three loops (D, anti-codon, and T loops). Lineage: Bacteria; Bacillati; Cyanobacteriota; Cyanophyceae; Synechococcales; Synechococcaceae. RNAcentral also lists the same sequence under 2 other names. The record is from RNAcentral.